UGAUAUUAUACGUACGAGGUGUCGAUC
This 27-nucleotide small RNA is filed under the name Bombyx mori (domestic silkworm). Its description in RNAcentral is "ovarian small RNA-32561". Lineage: Eukaryota; Metazoa; Arthropoda; Insecta; Lepidoptera; Bombycidae. The record is from RNAcentral.